This 1092-nucleotide ribosomal RNA is filed under the name Bacillus cereus. RNAcentral's name for it is "partial 23S ribosomal RNA". It matches the Rfam family "Bacterial large subunit ribosomal RNA", at positions 1 to 1083 of the family's 2925-position model. Lineage: Bacteria; Bacillati; Bacillota; Bacilli; Caryophanales; Bacillaceae. The record is from RNAcentral.
GUUUGGUUAAGUUAGAAAGGGCGCACGGUGGAUGCCUUGACACUAGGAGUCGAUGAAGGACGGGACUAACGCCGAUAUGCUUCGGGGAGCUGUAAGUAAGCUUUGAUCCGAAGAUUUCCGAAUGGGGAAACCCACUAUACGUAAUGGUAUGGUAUCCUUACCUGAAUACAUAGGGUAUGGAAGACAGACCCAGGGAACUGAAACAUCUAAGUACCUGGAGGAAGAGAAAGCAAAUGCGAUUUCCUGAGUAGCGGCGAGCGAAACGGAACAUAGCCCAAACCAAGAGGCUUGCCUCUUGGGGUUGUAGGACAUUCUAUACGGAGUUACAAAGGAACGAGGUAGACGAAGCGACCUGGAAAGGUCCGUCGUAGAGGGUAACAACCCCGUAGUCGAAACUUCGUUCUCUCUUGAAUGUAUCCUGAGUACGGCGGAACACGUGAAAUUCCGUCGGAAUCUGGGAGGACCAUCUCCCAAGGCUAAAUACUCCCUAGUGAUCGAUAGUGAACCAGUACCGUGAGGGAAAGGUGAAAAGCACCCCGGAAGGGGAGUGAAAGAGAUCCUGAAACCGUGUGCCUACAAAUAGUCAGAGCCCGUUAAUGGGUGAUGGCGUGCCUUUUGUAGAAUGAACCGGCGAGUUACGAUCCCGUGCAAGGUUAAGCUGAAGAGGCGGAGCCGCAGCGAAAGCGAGUCUGAAUAGGGCGUUUAGUACGUGGUCGUAGACCCGAAACCAGGUGAUCUACCCAUGUCCAGGGUGAAGUUCAGGUAACACUGAAUGGAGGCCCGAACCCACGCACGUUGAAAAGUGCGGGGAUGAGGUGUGGGUAGCGGAGAAAUUCCAAUCGAACCUGGAGAUAGCUGGUUCUCCCCGAAAUAGCUUUAGGGCUAGCCUUAAGUGUAAGAGUCUUGGAGGUAGAGCACUGAUUGAACUAGGGGUCCUCAUCGGAUUACCGAAUUCAGUCAAACUCCGAAUGCCAAUGACUUAUCCUUAGGAGUCAGACUGCGAGUGAUAAGAUCCGUAGUCAAGAGGGAAACAGCCCAGAUCGCCAGCUAAGGUCCCAAAGUGUGUAUUAAGUGGAAAAGGAUGUGGAGUUG